RNAcentral lists this ribosomal RNA (465 nucleotides) under Vreelandella stevensii. RNAcentral's name for it is "partial 16S ribosomal RNA". It matches the Rfam family "Bacterial small subunit ribosomal RNA", at positions 338 to 795 of the family's 1533-position model. The record is from RNAcentral. Lineage: Bacteria; Pseudomonadati; Pseudomonadota; Gammaproteobacteria; Oceanospirillales; Halomonadaceae.
CCUACGGGGGGCAGCAGUGGGGAAUAUUGGACAAUGGGGGGAACCCUGAUCCAGCCAUGCCGCGUGUGUGAAGAAGGCCCUCGGGUUGUAAAGCACUUUCAGUGAGGAAGAACGCCUGGUGGUUAAUACCCAUCAGGAAAGACAUCACUCACAGAAGAAGCACCGGCUAACUCCGUGCCAGCAGCCGCGGUAAUACGGAGGGUGCGAGCGUUAAUCGGAAUUACUGGGCGUAAAGCGCGCGUAGGUGGCUUGAUAAGCCGGUUGUGAAAGCCCCGGGCUCAACCUGGGAACUGCAUCCGGAACUGUCAAGCUAGAGUGCAGGAGAGGAAGGUAGAAUUCCCGGUGUAGCGGUGAAAUGCGUAGAGAUCGGGAGGAAUACCAGUGGCGAAGGCGGCCUUCUGGACUGACACUGACGCUGAGGUGCGAAAGCGUGGGUAGCAAACAGGAUUAGAUACCCUUGUAGUC